Molecule: long non-coding RNA, 546 nt
Filed under: Helianthus annuus (common sunflower)
Lineage: Eukaryota; Viridiplantae; Streptophyta; Magnoliopsida; Asterales; Asteraceae
Source: RNAcentral
UUUAGUGUGUGUUCUGGUCGAGGUUUUCCACAGGAGGAUAAGGGGUUCUUGAGCUCAAACCCUAAUCAACACAAUUUCAUCAAAUUGAAGGGGCAAAUCAAGUCCAAAUCGAAAUCUAAGCUCGAAUUAGUGAUCACCUCCAUGAAGGGAUCAUAAGGCGACUCGAGCGAGAAGGCGGGCGAUAAAGUCGGGAGCGAUACGCGGCAUAAAGGGAAGAUCUAAGGAAAUAACAUAUGUUUGCGAUGUUUUAACUAGAAAAUUUAAAGCAAAAAGUAUGUAAACGGGUCGAUGCUAUUGCCCGAGCCAGGUGUGAAGUUGGUGUUACUCCGAAUGGCGAUCAAGCAAGAUUUCAAGAACCGAACGCGACACUUUUGAAGCUUACGGCGUUAAUAAUUUUUGUUCUAACUGAAUAUGGACAUGUAACUCUUGAUGCCACAUUAUGUAUGUUUUAAACUUGUUGGGAUGUUAAUCAUGUAUGAACACUCAACAAAACAAAGUUUUUGUAAAUCCGUAUAUUUUCAUUUAUAAAUACGCGUAUUUUAACAU